RNAcentral lists this ribosomal RNA (253 nucleotides) under uncultured bacterium. RNAcentral's name for it is "partial 16S ribosomal RNA". It matches the Rfam family "Bacterial small subunit ribosomal RNA", at positions 524 to 776 of the family's 1533-position model. The record is from RNAcentral.
UACGUAGGGGGCGAGCGUUGUCCGGAUUUAUUGGGCGUAAAGAGCGUGUAGGCGGCUUUACAGGUCCGUUGUGAAAACUCGAGGCUCAACCUCGAGACGCCGGUGGAAACCGUAAAGCUAGAGUCCGGAAGAGGAGAGUGGAAUUCCUGGUGUAGCGGUGAAAUGCGCAGAUAUCAGGAAGAACACCCGUGGCGAAGGCGGCUCUCUGGGACGGUACUGACGCUGAGACGCGAAAGCGUGGGGAGCGAACAGG